GCUGGGCAUGGUGGUGCACGCCUGUAAUCCCAGCUACUUGGGAGGCUGAGGCAGGAGGAUUGUUUGAACCCAGGAGACAGAGGUUGCAGUGAGCUGAGAUCAUGCCACUGCACUUCAGCCUGGGCAACAGAGUGAGACUCUGUCUCCA
RNAcentral lists this non-coding RNA (148 nucleotides) under Pan paniscus (pygmy chimpanzee). RNAcentral also lists the same sequence under 1 other name. Lineage: Eukaryota; Metazoa; Chordata; Mammalia; Primates; Hominidae. The record is from Rfam by way of RNAcentral.